Molecule: long non-coding RNA, 1006 nt
Organism: Notolabrus celidotus (New Zealand spotty)
Lineage: Eukaryota; Metazoa; Chordata; Actinopteri; Labriformes; Labridae
Exons: 3
Source: RefSeq, a predicted model, not a curated record
UCCGUUUUUGCACUAUUUGCGGACACACCACAGACUUGGCUCUGACGUGAACUGAUCAGCUGUUCAGGUCUUUAGCUUCAUAGUGACACAACUUCCAACAAACUAAAUAAAGAUUGAUUCUGACCGCGCCGGUGUGAUGCCGUUUGCUAAGGAUACAUGUGGACAACUUUAUGAGCUGGAGUUUACAGAGGAAAGGUGAUUAAUGCACCGGAUCAAAAAAAGUGGAGACACUUCUGAGCUUCACUGGAGAGCAGGAGAGAUCCCGAGUUACCUGGUGGUGCAGAUGUAUAAACUAUGAGCUGAUGCCGACGAACCGAGGAAACCACCUGCUGUCACGAUUAAGACUUGGCAACAACAGUGCCUCUGGACCUAGGAAUGAGGUUUAACCAGAGGAUCACACAGGGCUGCAGUCAGCGACGCUCACCAACCAGAGUCCACGGCCCAACUGAACGCCAGUGUUUGUUUCUGACUUUCUUCAAUGUUUUGGAGAUACAUCGAAAAGCUGAAAAGCUGAAUGCAAGUUCGUCUUCAAAGGGGAGAGAGACGUCUCAACUGCACACCUGCUCAGGGUCAAAAUCACAGGAAAUAGAAAAAAAGAAAAGAAGGAAGGAACUCAACCUGACACAUUUUCCCGCAGACAAUGCCAAAAGACGACUGAAGACAGGGCGGGAAAUGACAACACAAAAAGUUCACACCUUCCUGCCUUCCUCUGUUUACCUGUAACAGAGCUGUUGUGAUCAUUUCCGGGAACCCAGGACAAGGUAACAUUCCUCGGACCAUCAAGUUCAGAUAUCUCUACCUUUCUUGGAGCAUCUGGAACAUCUGCAACACAAAAUACGUUUUACAAAAUGAGAUGUUCGAUAGCAGCGUUUGAAUUAGAGAUUCAAACCACAAUGUAACACACAGCUUUAGAUUAUUUAUGUCACUGUCUACGCAUAUCACACCAUAUACGCACACAUGAGACCUUGCAAGAAAUCUGUUAUCAAUAAUAAAUUAUAUUCCAUAA